This 500-nucleotide ribosomal RNA is filed under the name uncultured bacterium. RNAcentral's name for it is "partial 16S ribosomal RNA". It matches the Rfam family "Bacterial small subunit ribosomal RNA", at positions 30 to 523 of the family's 1533-position model. The record is from RNAcentral.
AUUGAACGCUGGCGGCAUGCCUUACACAUGCAAGUCGAACGGCAGCGGGUCCUUCGGGAUGCCGGCGAGUGGCGAACGGGUGAGUAAAGUAUCGGAACGUACCCGGGAGUGGGGGAUAACGUAGCGAAAGUUACGCUAAUACCGCAUAUUCUGUGAGCUGGAAAGAGGGGGAUCUUCGGUCCUCUCGCUUUCGUAGGGUCCGAUAUCAGAUUAGCCAGUUGGUGGGGUAAAGGCCUACCAAGGCGGCGAUCUGGUGCGGGUCUGAGAGGAUGAUCCGCCACACUGGGACUGAGACCCGGCCCAGACUCCUACGGGAGGCUGCAGUGGGGAAUUUUGGACAAUGGGCGAAAGCCUGAUCCAGCCAUGCCGCGUGAGUGAAGAAGGCCUUCGGGUUGUAAAGCUCUUUCGGCCGGGAAAAAAUCGCAUUUCUGAAUAAGGGGUGUGGAUGAUGGUACCAGCAUAAGAAGCACCGGCUAACUACGUGCCAGCCGCCGCAGUAA